Long non-coding RNA from Cygnus olor (mute swan), 785 nucleotides. RefSeq lists it as uncharacterized. NCBI's taxonomy places the organism in Eukaryota, Metazoa, Chordata, Aves, Anseriformes, Anatidae. The transcript is spliced from 3 exons. The record is from RefSeq and is a predicted model, not a curated record.
GCUCAUAUCAUCAGCCAGCAAGUAGGCCCAGGAGCUAGGUCAGGGCUGCUCCGCUGACCCUAGGGGCAGGCCUUUCCUCUAAAAAACCUUCUAGAAGCACCAAUAAGAUUAGAGGAAUCCCUAAAUCCCAGUGCAAAAUCCAAAAUGAGUUCCUUUACGCAUUGGGCUUAAACAUCAGAAGUGCACAAGAGAAACUUAAAAUGUAUUGCAUCAAUGGCCGUCAGCUCUCAGAAGAUCUAGCAGAGAGUGGGUUGCUCACUGCGUCACUCAUCUGCAGCUGAAUAAAGCAUUCUUUCUCCUCAAGUCCUAAUGACGCUUCCAGCUGGAAAUAGCUAGAUUUUCUCUUCGGAAUAAAUCAACCCACAGAAAACACCUUGCAGAAGAUUAAUUACAGAGUCAAGGUUGGAAGGCAUGUCUGGAGGUUGUCUAGUCCAAAUCCCUGGCUUAAGCGGGGUCACUUGGAGGAGGACGGCCAUGGCUCUGCCCAGCCAGGUCUGAACAUCUCUAAGGAGAGUCCAGCCCCUCUCUGGGCAGCCCGUUCCAGACGGGCACAGGAUGCUGCCGGACACGUGGGGCUUUGCUGGGAGGGCAAAAGGCUCAGAUUUAUCUAUGCCGGGGUGCAGUGGCUGUUUGCCAGGAGUCUGACAGCUGAUUCAGGAAGGAGCACAGGCCAGCCAUGCUCAGAAACUCCCCGCGGGGUCUUGUUGCUAUUUGCUUUUUUCCAUCUGCGCCAAAAUACACGCACUUUUAAUUCAAACGAACAUCACCACACAACUCUUCCCCGA